GCUGAACAUGCCAUCUCCUAAUACCCACUAAAAUAUUAUACAGAACUAAUAGCAAGUAUAUGUUUCCAUGCUAGUUGCGCAUGCUUACUUGCUCAAUCCAAGGGAAAAUUUAAUUUUCAUUUAUAUGUAACCAAAAAAGCAUGGAUAUGGUCCCAUUUUGGCAGACUUUACCAUGCUUCCAUAUCAUGCAAUGUUCAGCAGUCCAAGGAAAGUCAUAAGAAGGAAACGGGAAGC
RNAcentral lists this unclassified non-coding RNA (234 nucleotides) under Hevea brasiliensis (rubber tree). The record is from RNAcentral. Lineage: Eukaryota; Viridiplantae; Streptophyta; Magnoliopsida; Malpighiales; Euphorbiaceae.